UACGUAGGGGGCUAGCGUUGUCCGGAAUCAUUGGGCGUAAAGCGCGUGUAGGCGGUCCGGUAAGUCCGCUGUGAAAGUCGGGGGCUCAACCCUCGGAUGCCGGUGGAUACUGUCGGGCUCGAGUACGGAAGAGGCGAGUGGAAUUCCUGGUGUAGCGGUGAAAUGCGCAGAUAUCGAGAGGAACACCUGCGGCGAAGGCGGGUUGCUGGGCUGACACUGACGCUGAGGCGCGAAAGCCAGGGGAGCGAACGGG
RNAcentral lists this ribosomal RNA (253 nucleotides) under uncultured bacterium. RNAcentral describes it as "partial 16S ribosomal RNA". It matches the Rfam family "Bacterial small subunit ribosomal RNA", at positions 524 to 776 of the family's 1533-position model. The record is from RNAcentral.